AUCAUCUGGAGAUCUUGUUAAAACACAGAUUCUGGUUCAGUAGGUUAGGGUGGGACCUGAGAUUCUGCAUUUCUAACCAGCUCCCAGAUGGUGGCAAU
Molecule: microRNA precursor, 98 nt
Filed under: Chlorocebus sabaeus (green monkey)
Lineage: Eukaryota; Metazoa; Chordata; Mammalia; Primates; Cercopithecidae
Description: miRNA (ENSCSAG00000024575.1)
Source: RNAcentral